GACGAACGCUGGCGGCGUGCCUAAUACAUGCAAGUCGAGCGAUAAAGAUUGGUGCUUGCACCAAUUUGAAGAGCAGCGCACGGGUGAGUAACGCGUGGGGAAUCUGCCUUUGAGCGGGGGACAACAUUUGGAAACGAAUGCUAAUACCGCAUAACAACUUUAAACAUAAGUUUUAAGUUUGAAAGAUGCAAUUGCAUCACUCAAAGAUGAUCCCGCGUUGUAUUAGCUGGGUGGUGAGGUAAAGGCUCACCUAGGCGAUGAUACAUAGCCGACCUGAGAGGGGGGUCGGCCACCUUGGGACUGAGACACGGCCCAAACGCCCUGGGGAGGCAGCAGUAGGGCAUCUGCGGCAAGCGGUGAGAGUCUUACCGAGAAACGCCGCGUGAGUGUAGAAGGUCUUCGGGUCGUGAAUCUCUGUUUUUAGGGUAGAACGUUGGUGAGAGUGGAAAGCUCAUCAAGUGACGGUAACGACUCAGAAAGGGACGGCUAACUACGUG
This 497-nucleotide ribosomal RNA is filed under the name uncultured bacterium. RNAcentral's name for it is "partial 16S ribosomal RNA". It matches the Rfam family "Bacterial small subunit ribosomal RNA", at positions 28 to 507 of the family's 1533-position model. The record is from RNAcentral.